Molecule: long non-coding RNA, 374 nt
Organism: Stomoxys calcitrans (stable fly)
Lineage: Eukaryota; Metazoa; Arthropoda; Insecta; Diptera; Muscidae
Exons: 3
Source: RefSeq, a predicted model, not a curated record
AAUAUAUAUAUAUAUAUACACCAAUCACAACAAUAUGGGACUCAAAUGAAAGCCCAAAAGAAUGAGUGCACUCGCACCUCCACAGUGAAGUUAAAUCGCCUUAACGCUUUCCGUAAUUACUUUUCCCAUACCGGUUUGAAUGAUUGACAUAAAAAUAAAAAACAAAAAUUUGUCAACAAUUAAAAAUCCAUUAAAUAAAUAACAAUUUUAUUGAUUUGGAAACUCAUUGAGUUCAAAAUAAUUCGAAAAGACUAUUCUGCUCACAUAUUUUAUUCAAGACGCCUAUAUUGACAAGAUGAAUGCCAGAAUUGUGGGCAUUUUAAUGCUAAUUAAUUGCUGUUUUCACUUAUACCAGACGGGAAAGCGUCCUUUCA